CCUACGGGUGGCAGCAGUGGGGGAUAUUGCACAAUGGGGGGUACCCUGAUGCAGCGACGCCGCGUGGGUGAAGAAGCGCCUCGGCGCGUAAAGCCCUGUCAGCAGGGAAGAAAAUGACGGUACCUGAAGCAGAAGCCCCGGCUAACUACGUGCCAGCAGCGGCGGUAAUACGUAGGGGGCAAGCGUUAUCCGGAUUUACUGGGGGGAAAGGGGGUGCAGGUGGCGAUGCAAGCCAGGAGUGAAAGCCCGGGGCCCAAACCCGGGACUGCCCUUGGAACUGCGUGGCUGGAGUGCAGGAGGGGCAGGCGGAAUUCCUGGUGUAGCGGUGAAAUGCGUAGAUAUCAGGAGGAACACCGGUGGCGAAGGCGGCCUGCUGGACUGCAACUGACGUUGAGGCCCGAAAGCGUGGGGAGCAAACAGGAUUAGAUACCCCAGUAGUC
This 440-nucleotide ribosomal RNA is filed under the name uncultured bacterium. RNAcentral describes it as "partial 16S ribosomal RNA". It matches the Rfam family "Bacterial small subunit ribosomal RNA", at positions 338 to 795 of the family's 1533-position model. The record is from RNAcentral.